Non-coding RNA from Cinara cedri, 388 nucleotides. The record is from the annotation of a GenBank genome assembly. NCBI's taxonomy places the organism in Eukaryota, Metazoa, Arthropoda, Insecta, Hemiptera, Aphididae.
AAAAUGGAAAAAAAACAGUUCUGUUGUUUAUUCGAGAAACUUUUGUCCGAAAAACGAGAAGAUAAUUAAUUAAUUUUAUUUAUCAAAUGACUAACGCUUAUAAAUAAAUAAUUAAUUGAAAGGUAGUUAUAAAUCUUGUCGAUUUAAAAAAUUCGAAAUUAUUAAUAUCGGAGGAGUAGAGAAACUUAAAUAAUCAGUCGAAAAAGGUGGGACAAAUUUACUUUAGGUUUUUUUACUAAAUAGUUUUCACCUUCUAACCACUAGAAUAUUUGGAUGCCAUUAAUUGCAUAUGCUAUAAUAAUAAUAUAUUAUAAAAAACCUGCUUUGUUAAUUAUAUAAUAACUUUAUUUUAGAUUUAAAAAAACACUAAAAUCAAUAUUUGUCCGUA